Nocardia nova SH22a is the source of this 75-nucleotide regulatory RNA element. It matches the Rfam family "6C RNA". Lineage: Bacteria; Bacillati; Actinomycetota; Actinomycetes; Mycobacteriales; Nocardiaceae. The record is from Rfam.
CGUGUUCAGCCCGACCCCCCGGGGCUGAACCCCGACGGCCCCAGCCUCCUCCCCCCCCGGCUGGGGCCGUCCUCU